This 236-nucleotide ribosomal RNA is filed under the name Ambispora sp. Its description in RNAcentral is "partial small subunit ribosomal RNA". The stretch from base 91 to 236 matches the Rfam family "Eukaryotic small subunit ribosomal RNA", at positions 738 to 886 of the family's 1831-position model. Lineage: Eukaryota; Fungi; Glomeromycota; Glomeromycetes; Archaeosporales; Ambisporaceae. The record is from RNAcentral.
GACGAGAACGGCCGGUCUGGCUUCUGGCCAGCACUGGACGGAUCGAGUCUUUUUUCUGGGGAAGCGGGGUGCUCUUUACUGGGUGCGCCGGGGAACCAGGACGAUUACCUUGAGAAAAACAGAGUGUUCAAAGCAGGCGUUUGCUUGGAUACAUUAGCAUGGAAUAAUGAAAUAGGACGCUGGUUCUAUUUUGUUGGUUUUGAGGACCAAUGUCAUGAUUAAUAGGGAUAGUUGGG